Molecule: transfer RNA, 73 nt
Filed under: Opitutia bacterium
Lineage: Bacteria; Pseudomonadati; Verrucomicrobiota; Opitutia
Description: tRNA-Lys
Rfam family: tRNA
About the family: Transfer RNA (tRNA) molecules are approximately 80 nucleotides in length.
Source: RNAcentral
GGGUCAAUAGCUCAAUUGGUAGAGCACCGGGCUUUUAACCCGUAGGUUCAGGGUUCGAGUCCCUGUUGACCCA